GAUGAACGCUGGCGGCGUGCCUAAUACAUGCAAGUCGAGCGAACAGACGAGGAGCUUGCUCCUCUGACGUUAGCGGCGGACGGGUGAGUAACACGUGGAUAACCUACCUAUAAGACUGGGAUAACUUCGGGAAACCGGAGCUAAUACCGGAUAAUAUAUUGAACCGCAUGGUUCAAUAGUGAAAGACGGUUUUGCUGUCACUUAUAGAUGGAUCCGCGCCGCAUUAGCUAGUUGGUAAGGUAACGGCUUACCAAGGCAACGAUGCGUAGCCGACCUGAGAGGGUGAUCGGCCACACUGGAACUGAGACACGGUCCAGACUCCGACGGGAGGCAGAAGUAGGGAAUCUUCCGCAAUGGGCGAAAGCCUGACGGAGCAACGCCGCGGGAGUGAUGAAGGUCUGCGGAUCGUAAAACGCUGUUAUUAGGGAAGAACAAAUGUGUAAGUAACUAUGCACGUCUUGACGGUACCGAAUCAGAAAGCCACGGCUAACUACGU
This 496-nucleotide ribosomal RNA is filed under the name uncultured bacterium. RNAcentral describes it as "partial 16S ribosomal RNA". It matches the Rfam family "Bacterial small subunit ribosomal RNA", at positions 28 to 506 of the family's 1533-position model. The record is from RNAcentral.